This 418-nucleotide long non-coding RNA is filed under the name Setaria viridis. RNAcentral describes it as "long non-coding RNA (SVIR_LNC006301)". Lineage: Eukaryota; Viridiplantae; Streptophyta; Magnoliopsida; Poales; Poaceae. The record is from RNAcentral.
AUAGAUGUCCAUUCGGGCCGCCCGGCCCGGUCCGGCACGGGCCCGGCAUGGCCCGUUCGUUUUCGUGCCGGGCCUGGCCCGUCACGAUAACACCCUCGUGCCGGGCCGGGCCAGCCCACAGGCCGUAGGGGCGGCCCAUGCACGGGCCCGUGAGGUCUUUUUCGUGCCGGGCCGGCCCGAAGGGCCCGUCCUUUUUUACGGGUCGGGCCAGCCCACAGCCCAUAUUCGACACAACACAACACACAAUCACAAAAUCACAAAAUCACAGACACAGACACAAUCACAAUUCAUUUGAGCUGUUAACAUGGAAUCACAGACACAACACACAAUCACAAAAUCACAGACACAAUCACAAAAUCACAGACAUUCAUCACAUGGAAUUAUUAGAGCUGUUUAACACUUGAUCUGUGUGAUCAAG